RNAcentral lists this ribosomal RNA (460 nucleotides) under uncultured bacterium. RNAcentral's name for it is "partial 16S ribosomal RNA". It matches the Rfam family "Bacterial small subunit ribosomal RNA", at positions 28 to 507 of the family's 1533-position model. The record is from RNAcentral.
GACGAACGCUGGCGGCGUGCUUAACACAUGCAAGUCGAGCGGUAAGGCCUCUUCGGGGGUACACGAGCGGCGAACGGGUGAGUAACACGUGGGUGACCUGCCCUCAGCUCUGGGAUAAGCCUGGGAAACUGGGUCUAAUACCGGAUAUGACCUUUCCUCGCAUGGGGUUUGGUGGAAAGUUUUUUCGGCUGGGGAUGGGCCCGCGGCCUAUCAGCUUGUUGGUGGGGUGAUGGCCUACCAAGGCGACGACGGGUAGCCGGCCUGAGAGGGCGACCGGCCACACUGGGACUGAGACACGGCCCAGACUCCUACGGGAGGCAGCAGGGGGGAAUAUUGCGCAAUGGGCGGAAGCCUGGCGCAGCGACGCCGCGUGGGGGAUGACGGCCUUCGGGUUGUAAACCUCUUUCGACCCCGACGAAUUUGGACGGUAGGGGUAGAAGAAGCACCGGCCAACUACGUG